AGGCACUGAAGAGGAAAGAAGAGAAGGACAUUUAGUGAAUAAAGUCAGGCAAAGUGAAGGGCAUUAAGGUUCAAAGUGACAGAGUAGAUUAACUGCUUGCAAAGAUGAACAAGGGUAUUCUUUCGUAUUAUGGUUCUUGUGGUGGCAAAGCUGCUUCAAAGAAGUUUGUAUCAUGUUUAGUUCUUGUUGAAAGAUAUAUAUAAACAAGAACAUUCCACUGAUCAUUGCAAAAGGUUAAAGUUCAACCAGCACAGCCAAAGGUUAUAAACUGCUGCCUGGAAGUGGGAAUGAGCAGCAAAUUUCUGUCUGGCUUCAUAAGGAAGAAUGGAAAAAGGCAGCAAUCAUCUCCAGCAAGGAAGGAUGGUUAUGUGGCUGUACUGUGGUCUGAGGAGCUGGAGGAAGCUGGUCUUUGUCCCUGAUGAUGCUGCACAGUCCACCACCUCUGUUGCUUCAGCACGAGAGAAAUAUUAGUGAAAGUAUCUCUUCAGAAGGGUGUAGGUACAUCCCAUUAAUGCAAGUUUAAUGGAAGAUGGUGUAAAACCACAGCAUUGUUUUCAGAACCUCUCAUCUUUAUAAGUGCCUCUGCACAGGUAAUUGCAGACUUUAAAGAUAAGAUCUCCUGGUAGUGCUACUGAACACAUAUGCUUGUGUCUUAGCAUAAUGUUCUUUGCAAGGGCUUUGGAGAUCAAAGACAGUCUGGGCUUGAUUGGAAACCAAUUAGCUACUGCUGUGUGGACCUUUGAAAACUAACAGGAUUUUUAUUUCCUGUAUCCUUUGAUCCCCCAAAUGAGCAAUAUAAAGAAAAGGGAAAGCAGAACAAAAGAACAGAUGUACCAAGCAAAGACUGAAAAGGGAAAGCAAGAAUGUGCCUAUAGGUUAGUUGGAUAGUUUAGAGAAAAAGUAAAAAUCAGGAUGCUGGAUUAGAAAGCCCCAACAAGCUACAAGCAUAAGCAAUGCAUCUGUCAGCUCAGUAUCUUUGUGACUUAGAAAGUCACCUAAACAGAGUUGUAAUAUGGAUUAUGUAUGGAUGUCCACAGGAGGGAUUUGGUUUUGCUCCAUAUGCAACCAGGAUUACUUGUGCAGCUGAUGCUACUUCUCCAGCAGUACACUGCUGUACCUUUGAUCUUAUUGCCUAAUUCCUUUAGCCUUUCUCCCACCCUUUUCCUGGUUUGGCUUCAUAUUCCAGGAAGAAUCCAAUGCUGACAAGUGUGCUUUACAGCUCCAGCUCUAACUUGUAAUUUCCAGUGCUAUCAGCAGACUGUGGGCCAAGGAAAGCAGCUGCACAUCCAUUCCCUUUGGUAGCAUUUCACCCACUCCUAUGGCCCCGUUGCUGUCUGGGGUCAGCCCUUGUGCUGAGACAAUUAACACUGAGCAUCUGAAAUCUGAUAGGGCUUUAAAGCCAAGGGUGAGUGCUUGCCACCCGGUGAGAGGAGGAGAAAGGAGGGGGAGGAUGAAUGAGCUGGACCUUUUCCUUUCUCAUCCGGCACACAUUAGUGGAUCAAUGACUGAAAUGGAUGAGGGUGCUGCCGGAGUGUCACGGUGGUGUAAUGAUGUAGCUGCUAUUAAUGGCUAAGGCUCCAGCCCGGAAAUUACAGUUGAAGAAAUGGAAUCAAAAAAUGUUUCUGAGGGCUCUGAAUUGGUGAUUUGAGGACUGUAAUUUAGAGCUUGCUUUCAUAUUGCAUAAAACGGUUACUAUGCAUAUUUGGAGAAGCUUGGCUCUUAGUUAAGGAAGGAAUAAAGUCAAUAAAGUGUGCUUGAUCAUGGUUCUCCUUCCAUUCCCCAUCUAAGGUAUGACACACAAUCAGCGCUGGUGGCUCUCAAGAUCUAUUUCAUGCUUUUAAGCAGAUCUGUUUGCUGUGAGGAAAUGUACCGUCAGCCCUCUGGCUGUCUGGAUUUAGAGCAGAUGUACAAAAUAUUAUGGUUUAUAUAGCCUGUGAGCUCAGCAUAUUUCAAGAUCAAAUUCCUAUUACACUAAAAUAACUGGCAAAACCAUGAUUAUCUUCAGGCAGCCUGGAUCUAGACGCAGUAAAAAACCCCACAACAACUGACCAGAAAUCCCAAAGGAAAAGCUCUUUGUCUUCCAAAGCUCUUUGUCUUGCUGAAAUCUGCUGUUUUCAGGUAAAUCCAAGACUGAUACGAGGAUCCAACAGGUUUUUUUCCAUAUUGACUUUCCUUGGGCUCUCUGUAAUGAGACAGGUCAGAGGGGAGAGCAUGAAGGGAGGGAGUUCAGCCACUUCCUUGCUGAAAAUGAUGCAAAGGGAUGUGAUCUGCUUCUGAGCCACUAAAUAGUGAAUAUAUAGAAGUCUGUAAAGGAUUUCUGUAAGAGCACUGUUUCCACUCACAUCUUUCAGACUAACCUACUUGCUGCUGUCUGCUCUGAGGCCUUUCCCUCCAUCCCUGCUGCGGGUGGCUGCUGAGGCUGUGCUUGCCCUUUCUGCAAGCAGCCGAGGGCAGAGCAUCCAGCAUGGACUGGGUCAAACAACCAACCAGACCACUCGGUGGCUAAUAACUGGUCCUGAAACACUGUUCCCACUUAAAACUGGCAGCAGUCAGGCCUGCUGAGGUGAGGCAAGAGGAACUCUGCCCUUCAUAUGCUUUGCCUGACAUUGCCGAGGCACCCGCUGGUCCCCCCUCCCAGCUCUUUCUGCCUACACAUUAAUUUUCUGCAGCUCUUUAGUGGAAGCUUCAAUGCAUUCCAAAAGGGUUUUCCUCUAAUUCCACUCUUUUUUCUGUGCUUCCUAAAUAGCAGGAGCUGCCUGAUGAGGCAGCUCGGCGUGAGCAAGGAGAGGAGACCAUGAGGUAAACAGUGAACUGCGGGCAUAAAUAUUUCAGAAACCUGUGUCAGCAUUAAAGGCUUGGCUGCUGCUAUUCCUCCUGAGGGGUCAGGUUGCAAGAAACCUCUUCUUCAUCCCCCAGCAUCUGCCUUGCUCAUGAACACAUCCAAAGUGCACAAUGAAUUUCAGGGAUGGGGGAAGCAGGAGAGCAAAGUGUUUGCACUAAUAAAACAGUCCUUGUAAUUCCACCUUGUCUCUGGCUAAUUAAAGCUUAUACAGCCAGUUCAUCAUCACUCAGAGGCUGCAGAUCCUGCUCAUUGCCAGCCGUUAAACACAGCCCAAUGUGUAUCUGACUGGUUGAUUGUAAUUGAAUGGGCCUCUGUGAGCCCCGUUCCACACGGCUGCAUGGACGCUCACCGGUGGUGGUUUAUAAUGAUAAUGGGCACAUCAGCAGUUUGACCCUUUUCUAAACAACUGUGUCAUAAAAGAUGCUUUGCUGCAACUGGUAUUUAUCUCAAAAUGCACAUUAUAGAAAAAAACUGUAACACUCCACCCGAAUGAUCCAAAACAAGGAGUCAGUGGACCCUGGAGAUUCCUGCGGCGCUGGUUUAAGUGGUUGCUCUCUCCCAUUGCCCCCAGCUUAUCUGUCCCCAGAGCAGAGGCAGCAGAAGGGGAUGAUACAUCUGCUCUUCACUUACCCCUGUUCCCAGACCAGUUACUACCCUAAAUACAUCUGGCAUAUCCUGCACAACUGUAGCGCAUCUGUGCUGCACUGCAGGAUGGACAAGCCUCAGUUUUCAGCUUUUGUGAAGAUGGGAACAUCUUUGCUGUGCUUGAUUUUAAUAAGAGUUGGAAUCCAAGUCCUCUUAAGCAGCCUGUUAGUGCAAAAUACUGUGAAAAAGAACUUGUGAAACCACUGGAGACUGUGGGCUGUACCAUGCAGCUAUGCACUCCCUAAAAGUCACAUUGGGCCCAAAUACAUACACAAAAAGUAUCUUUAAAUACUCAAACUGUGUGAGUUAGAGUAUGUGCCAUCUUUGGAGCUCUUUCUAUGGAUGGAUUCAAGCAGUGGGACUGCCCUGUAAAUAAGAAGGUUGUUCACAGUCUGACUAAACUUCAUCUAACAUUUAUGUCUUCUAAAUGUGCAACCAUCAGGUUGCCUAGAGAAAAGGAAGUGGAGCAAAUUGUUGAGUUCUGGGUUCAUCUGAGGGCUCAUGGGUUCCUCUUGUGCCCUUGAGAGCUCAGCCACCCUCAGUGCACCGCAGCCCUGCAGCCAUGAGGCAAAACAUCCUCACUGUGUUCCUGGAAGGAAAAAUGCUCUCAGAGUCUCAAGGUUCAGAGACUUUGCUGGUGGAGCAUGGGGCAUUUUAGGAAAGUUUGGUAGUAUUUAGUGUAAGAUGAGAGACAGGAAACAUCCAGCUGCCCAACAGAUGGUAUGGCCAAAAUUAAGUCUGCACACUAUCAACUAAAGCUACUGCCCUGCCCUUCAGGAGCCUCAUUUCAUCGAUUGACCAGUGGCUCCAAGCUGGGCUGAUAUUGAACACUUCUAACCCCUGUCUCGGGUAAUACAGUUUCUUUAGCCACUGUGUGGAGGAAAACGCUGAUUAUAUUGCCUUGCUCAGUGCUAAUUUUUCCUUCUGGUUCUGAUUAUGCAGAAUGAUGCUGCUAAAGAGAACGUUAGAAAGUCAAUCAACCAUUGCAAAAGAUACAGUAAAAGCCUAUUGUAAAAAUCUUUCCUUCCUUAUUUCUAUUUUAUUCCUCUGUCUGCCUCUCUCUAUAAACUCACCCGACUAUAUUUACAUUCAAAUAUAUAAUCCACAUGAUUUUAAGCUGCUUUGUGGAAGUUAGUUAAUUUCUUUACUUGAUGUAUCUUGAGACAAUAUAGCCAGUAUGUGGAUUUUGCUUGUUAGGCCCACUGCUUAGAGAUAAAUUAUUACUUUUUGGUUUAAUGUGUAAUAUAUUGACUUUUAAUUAAUAGUACAGAUAAUACUGGACAAUUCUUGUUUCUUCUUUUGGCCUUUUUCCACUUAGCAUGGGAACUGGAAAAAUCAGGCUUACCAUAUUCAAAGAAAUUCAGCAAUACGUUCCUUCUGACACUACGUAACUCUCAAGGUUGGUUUCAUUCCACAUAGAAAAUAAAAAUAAGGCUAAUACGUAUUAUACGAAACCAUAAAGGGAAAAGCACAGAACUGCCACAAUGGUCCCAGCUUCUUGUUCUCUAAAGGUCAGCUGUGAGGAUGUGAAACAGCAUUGUAUUACCAGUGCAAAAGAAGCUGAAACACAAGAGAAAGUAUUGAAAUAGAAAGAAAAAGAAGGCUUGAAGAAUUCCAGGUCAUCAUAUUGUAGUUCUCAGAACAUUUAGUUGCUCUGUAAAUACUGCUUAAUUAAAUGUACUCAGAUUGACAGCAAUAUUUAACUCCAAUUGCAUUAGAACUGAAUCACUACCUGCAAUAUUAAUUCCAGAUACCGCAGAAGAAGCAAACUAGGAGUAGGUCUGAUUUUACAUCCUGAUCAAGAAUUUAUGCUGUAGAUCCAAACGUAUCGAGUCAAAGGACAAUGUUAAUUUAUCACAAGGUCACACAGACCUCUACUGCCUUGAUUCAUGUUCUCUGCUCCCAGCUUCACAGAAGACCUGUGUAAAGGCCAACUGCUUAGUCUGAAUGUCAUGAAGAAGAAUGUGGCAAAUAUGGUCACCCCUUCAUAUUUUAGCUUCCUAGAGAAAUCUGAUACUACAUCAAACAGAUAUUUAUCUUGGAUGCUGUGGGAAGGGCAUUUUAGUGCAUGGAGCAGUGGCUGAAAUCUGACAUUACAACAGAAAAUGGACUGAUGAUCUGUAGCAAAUGAAGGUCUGUCAAUCAGAUGAAAUGUCCAACCCUGCUGAACUAAAUGAGCUUGUUUGUCACUGUAAUUAUGUAGCCUUACAAUGAUAAGGUAUUACAGAUAAAUGUCUAACUCAGUGCCAGAAACCGCUCUGCAGAAACCCAGUAUAUUUAAUUACAAGAGGAGGAAAAAAAAGGUUCCUCUAUUUCAUGAUCUACCCACCCCUGCAAUGAUUACUCCAGGGAAAUUCCCACUGAAGCCAAGCAGAUGGUUCCUACCUUGUUGUACGCCCAGCUUAUUUUCUUUUAAGCUAUGAAGUGGUUUACAAUGCCAUUUUUCUCUGGAGCUGCCUUGCAUUUGGCAGGCUUCAGACUGUGUGUGAAUUCCUUUUUACUGUAUAUGUGAAUGGAUUUCUUAGUUUCUUUUUUACCUCAAAUAACAAAUCCCACUUUGGAUUCAUAUAAAUAAGGACAUGAAUCAGACAAGUCUCUAGUCCAAACAUGGUUUCAACAAGAUGACUCCCACUGACUUUGUUGCAAGGGAGUUAAUAACCAGAUUUAACAUCUCUGAGACAUGUCGUCCCUGGUGCAUUUCCGGAAACAUCCAUGUUGACUCUUAAAGACUCAUCUAUGGAUCAAUGUUGUAUAUUUCUGCUUCUGAGCAAUCCCUUACUCCCGUUCUGCACAGAUACGUAAGUUUGCAGCAAACCUGAACAGAUGUUAGUUGGAUGAGGGAGCUGUCUGCUUUCUCUGUGCCUGCUGCGAACCUAUAUUGGUCCAGAGGGCAGGAUGAAAUCCAUCUGUGAUACUCUCCGAGGCAAACUUUGCCCUCGUAUCAGAAGCCAGCUCAAGCCCUACUCACUGUUCAAGGGUUUUACCCAGGACAGAGGUGCGAUACUGGAUUGUUCUCAGCAGAAGGGUGAAUUUCUGCUAUUUCUCCUUUCUUCUUAACAUCCCAGGUUAGCAAGGCUUUCACAAGUAUCAUAGAGAUUUUGUAAAACUGAUGAACACUGAUGACAUCUCUUGAGAAACUUUUCUUUAAGUCAAAUCUCUGUAAAACUAGAAGUAACCAGAUUAAAGGCUACACCUAAAUUGGCAGUGUCUGGUCAGGGAAUGGUAUAUACUUUAUCUGAUUUGAGACUAUGUAGCUCCAAGGAGUUCUUUAAAGAAAGAUAAAUCAUUAAUCCCCACAAUCAGUUCAGAGCAGCCAGUAAAGAAGAUAAAGUUCUUGUGUCUUUGUGCCACACAUACCUCCAGGCAUCUUCUAACAGAUUUCUCUGCAGCUUGAAUUCAGCUCUCUACUUCAGAGUCAGAGAUUCAGAGGGAAGCUGUGUUUGGAAGCAAAGAAAAUAGUUGAAAUCUCUCAUGAGAUAUAGUUUAAAAUAGAUACUAUUGGGGGGAAAAAGAGGUUAUCUGCAAGCAUUAUGGUGUUUUUCUCUGAUAUCCAUUAAAAGCACACGCAAUACCUGGAUGACUUAACCUGUGACCAUUAUUUAUUGUACCCCACUUUUUCUCCAGAGUGAAUGCCUGAAUUCGAAUCUUCCAUUUAUUGCUAAGUGCACUUCUGGGAAGGGUAAAUAGAACAGCAAAGGCCUGGGUCCCCGGGCAAGAAGCACACAGCAAUCAAACCCAGAAAGUAGAAAAGUGGCUUUAAGUGUCCUCUUUGCUCCCUGGGCCUGGGCUGGCUGUAUAAGGCUGGCCCCAGUGGAAAUUAAAAGACCCCAAAGCCUGCUCUCUCCUCCAAUAAUUUACUUCCAUCUCUCACUUUAUACUGUGGAUUAAAGAACCCCUUUGCAGGCUUUGGGAAUUACAACAUUCACCCAGGAAUGGCUCCAGCACAGCGAUUUGUGUGGUGCAUGAUUUGUGUGGUGCAGUGAUUUGCGUGGUGCAGUGAUUUGCAUGGUGCAGUGACUUGCCACACAGCACCUUUAAUGUAGAAUUACGGCAAUGUUCAAAGCAAGUUGAAACAGCUCAGUGGUUUAUACAUGUUUGCAUUCCCCUCUGCCUCCCUGUACCAAGCCAGGAUGUCUCCUUCACUUUGGACAGUAAUGAUGCAGGGAAACCCAAUAAUAGCUCUGUGUCCAGCCUUCCCCCAGGCAUGUUUUCACUCUCAUCAUUCAAUGGGAGGACAGAUGGAAAUACGAAUUAGGAGUGAGAGAUGCUGCCAACUCUCAGAAGCCCAUUGAGGGAAGGGCUUCUGAGAGAAGGUCAUCCUUUCUAUUUGUUUCCUGCCUCAGGAAACCUCUGAAACAAGCUCAGAAGAUUUGCAAGAACAGUUAUGAGUGUGUGCCUAUGAACUGAAGCUUGGCCUAGCAGCACCAUACAAGGCUGUUGCUUCAGCUGCUGACCCCAAGCACAAAGCACAGCUGAUUUUUAAGACAUGAUGGUGACUCUCUGACACAUAAGCAUCUGGUCUGGCUCCACUAUCAUUUUAUGCUGGUCAGACAACAUGAGGCUUUCUGGGGAAAAGCACGUGCACUGUGUUGCUGAAUCUCACAAACCCCACAGUUUUCAGUGUUAAAACAGUUGGACUUGGAAGCUAAACUUGGGUGAAUUCUUCUGAAGAGGAAAGCAGAUACUUUUAGUUGUUUGAAUCAUUAAACUGUACUUAAAACAAGGAGGGAAAAGUCUCACAAGUCUUGUUUAAUGCAAGCUGCUAUUCUAGGUUUCAUUCCUGCCCCAGCUGGUAUUUCCUGCUCUCCAAAACACAGAGGAAAGGUAAGGCAUUUUUUAUUGGGAUUUAUCUGAAAGAUGAAUCCUUAAACUCUGCUAUGGCAUGAGGAGUACAGGUGCCUGGAGUAGCUGCUACCUGCCCAGGAGUGCGUGUUGUGCUGACAGCCCUGCUGAGCAACGAGUAGAGGCUGCUAUUCCAUAAAUCUAUCUCAGCUGUGUCCAAGACAAAUCUAAUAUAAGCUUUAUUUUUGAGCAUUUAAGUGGGGAAAAGCCUUGCUUUUGUUUUCUGCACAAGAAGUAAGCUGCCAGCAGCUGGAUCUGCCUGUUCCACCAUGGCUGAAAAGUAACAUGAAUUCAACCAUCAAAUCACAGAUUUCUUUUAGAGUCACUCCCUCACAUUGCCAGUAUUGAAUGGGCAGGUUCCCAUCUUAACUUUCUAAGUUCAGCAGUUUGCAGCAGUUUAUCUCUUCUAACUCUUUGCCCCUCAAGCUCUUUUGGACUGAAACAGCUCUAAGCUCCUUGCAGUUCAUUCACUGGGGCUCCCAGCUUGGCGGAAUACCAGACUGAUGCCAGGAUGGCCAUGGCCAUGGGAUUUUUUUAAGGACGUUUAGUUCCUACCAUCUGUCUGUUGGCUCAACUCUAGGAAAUUUAGAUUGUGUUGCCUUCCCAAAGUUGUUUUUUCCCCCUUGGACUGCUGUCAGGAUAUGCAAUCUGUCUCUGUGAGUGUUCCAGUGAGACAGUACUCGAGAUGCAGUAAAAUGCCUCCGACUCUUACAUGUG
Molecule: long non-coding RNA, 9046 nt
Organism: Pezoporus occidentalis (night parrot)
Lineage: Eukaryota; Metazoa; Chordata; Aves; Psittaciformes; Psittacidae
Exons: 2
Source: RefSeq, a predicted model, not a curated record